AUUUAAAUAAGCUAAGCCAAAAUGUUAAGAAAGACAAUUACAAAUAAAUAAAUAGAAUAACGGAGAGUUUGAAUUUGGGCCCUUUGUACCAAUUUUAAAUCUCAUGGGCUUUUGUCCCAAAACCUGUCCUGCAAAUGAAUGAGUUUGACUCCUUUUCACUCUCAAACACCUGUGUAUACAACAAAUGUAUAUUGUUGUAUAUAGAUCAUAUUUUGACCGAUUUUCAUGUACAUCGGACUGUAUACCAA
RNAcentral lists this unclassified non-coding RNA (248 nucleotides) under Hevea brasiliensis (rubber tree). Lineage: Eukaryota; Viridiplantae; Streptophyta; Magnoliopsida; Malpighiales; Euphorbiaceae. The record is from RNAcentral.